This 1380-nucleotide ribosomal RNA is filed under the name Trechoblemus micros. RNAcentral describes it as "16S ribosomal RNA". Lineage: Eukaryota; Metazoa; Arthropoda; Insecta; Coleoptera; Carabidae. The record is from RNAcentral.
GCGAUUCAAUUAAUUUGAAAGAUAAAAUUUAUUAAUAAUAUAAGAAUUUAAAAUUUAAUAAAAAUAAUUUUAAUUAUAUUUGAUUUUAAGUAUAUUUUUUAGAAAAAAAAAAAAUUAUUAUAGUUUAAUAGUAUUGUAAAAGAAUAUUGAAAUAUAAAAUAUUUAAUAAAAAGUAAAAUUAAUUUUUUGUACCUUGUGUAUCAGGGUUUAUUAAAUAAAUUUUAAUUAUUUAAAUUUCUCGAAUUAAAGAGAGUAAAUAAAUUAUUUAAUUUUAUUGUAAAAAAAAUAUUUUUAAUAAUUUAUUAGUAAUGAAAUGUUAUUCGUUCUUUAAUAUAUCUAGUUUAUUUAGAAAUGAAUUUAAUUUAAAUUUAUUAAUUUUAAUAUUUUAAGUUUUUAAAGUAUUAUAUUUUUAUAUUAAUAAUUAAAGGGAUAAGCUUUUAAUUAAAUAUUUAAAAAUUAUUUUAUAUAAAUUAAAAAUGUAAGUUUAGAAAUAUCUAUCAUAAUAAUUUGUUAUAAUUAAUUUAAUUAAUUUAUAUAAUUUUAUAUAAUUUUAAUAUUUUAUAAAUAAGUAAAAUUUAAUUUUUUAAUUUUAGUUAUAAUGAUAAAAUUAGUAUAAAUUUAUAUAAAAAUUUUUAUAUAUAGAAGAUUAAAAAAAGUAAUUCGGCAAAAAUUUUACUCGCCUGUUUAACAAAAACAUGUCUUUUUGUUUUAUAUAUAAAGUCUGACCUGCCCACUGAAUAAUUUUUAAAUGGCUGCAGUAAUUUGACUGUACAAAGGUAGCAUAAUCAUUAGUUUUUUAAUUAAAAGCUUGUAUGAAAGGUUGGACGAAGUAAAUUCUGUCUCUUUUUAAAUUAAAUUAGAAUUUAAUUUUUAAGUUAAAAAGCUUAAAUUUUUAUAAAAGACGAGAAGACCCUAUAGAGUUUAAUAAUUUUUAAAAAAUGAUUAUUUUWRAUUUAUAAAUUUUAUUUUUUUUAAAAUUAUUUUAUUGGGGUAAUAGAAAGAUUAAAUUAAUUCUUUUUUUUUAAAAACAUUUAUUUAUGAAAUUUUAUGAUCCAUUAUUAAUGAUUAUAAGAUUAAAUUACCUUAGGGAUAACAGCGUAAUUUUUUUGGAGAGUUCUUAUCGAUAAAAAAGUUUGCGACCUCGAUGUUGGAUUAAAGAUUAAUUUAGAUGUAGAAGUUUAAAUUUUUGGUCUGUUCGACCAUUAAAUCUUUACAUGAUCUGAGUUCAAACCGGUGUAAGCCAGGUUGGUUUCUAUCUUUAUUAAAUUGUUAUAUUUUAGUACGAAAGGACCAAAUAUUAAAUAUAUAAAUAUUUAGUUUAUUGAAUUUUAUUAAUAUUAUUUUGGCAGAUUAGUGUGAUGAAUUUAGAAUUCAUAAAAG